AUUUUAAUAUUUUAGGCUUUAAUUAAAAUUUUAUAAUUUAUGUCAUAAAUACGAGUAUAACCUGUAUAGCUAAUAUGGUGUUUUUAGUAAAACUUCUAUGGUAAAAUCCAUAAUCAAAUUAUUUUUUAAAAAAAUAAGUUCAUAAUAUUUAU
Melitaea cinxia (Glanville fritillary) is the source of this 152-nucleotide long non-coding RNA. RefSeq lists it as uncharacterized. The transcript has 3 exons. The record is from RefSeq and is a predicted model, not a curated record. Lineage: Eukaryota; Metazoa; Arthropoda; Insecta; Lepidoptera; Nymphalidae.